GAGCGGCGAACGGGUGAGUAACACGUGAGUAACCUGCCCCUGACUCUCGGAUAAGCCUGGGAAACUGGGUCUAAUACCGGAUAUGACUACUUCGGGCAUCCGAUGGUGGUGGAAAGUUUUUUCGGUUGGGGAUGGACUCGCGGCCUAUCAGCUUGUUGGUGGGGUAGUGGCCUACCAAGGCGACGACGGGUAGCCGGCCUGAGAGGGCGACCGGCCACACUGGGACUGAGACACGGCCCAGACUCCUACGGGAGGCAGCAGUGGGGAAUAUUGCGCAAUGGGCGAAAGCCUGACGCAGCGACGCCGCGUGGGGGAUGACGGCCUUCGGGUUGUAAACCUCUUUCAGCAGGGACGAAGUUGACGUGUACCUGUAGAAGAAGCGCCGGCUAACUACGUGCCAGCAGCCGCGGUAAUACGUAGGGCGCAAGCGUUGUCCGGAAUUAUUGGGCGUAAAGAGCUCGUAGGUGGCUUGUCGCGUCUGCCGUGAAAGCUUAGGGCUUAACCCUAGGUCUGCGGUGGAUACGGGCAGGCUAGAGGCUGGUAGGGNCAAGCGGAAUUCCU
This 561-nucleotide ribosomal RNA is filed under the name Microtetraspora sp. 413G12. Its description in RNAcentral is "bacterial SSU rRNA". It matches the Rfam family "Bacterial small subunit ribosomal RNA", at positions 93 to 671 of the family's 1533-position model. Lineage: Bacteria; Bacillati; Actinomycetota; Actinomycetes; Streptosporangiales; Streptosporangiaceae. The record is from RNAcentral.